UAGGGAAUAUUGCGCAAUGGGCGAAAGCCUGACGCAGCGACACCGUGUGUAGGAUGAAAAUCUUCGGAUUGUAAACUACUGUCAGUUGAAGACGAAGGCAGUAGAGUUAAGAGCUCGAAUGUUGACGGUAUUCAAUUAGGAAGUCUCGGCUAACUCCGUGCCAGCAGCCGCGGUAAGACGGAGGAGGCUAGCAUUGUCCGGAAUUAUUGGGCGUAAAGAACACGUAGGCGGUUUGUCAAGUCAUUUGUGAAAACCUUAGGCUUAACUUAAGGAUUGCAGAUGAUACUGGUAAACUAGAGUACAGCAGAGGAAAGCGGAAUUCCUGGUGUAGCGGUGAAAUGCGCAGAUAUCAGGAAGAACACCAGUGGCGAAAGCGGCUUUCUGGACUGUUACUGACGCUGAGGUGUGAAAGCUAGGGGAGCGAACA
This 427-nucleotide ribosomal RNA is filed under the name uncultured prokaryote. RNAcentral's name for it is "bacterial SSU rRNA". It matches the Rfam family "Bacterial small subunit ribosomal RNA", at positions 355 to 774 of the family's 1533-position model. The record is from RNAcentral.